CAGCCGCCGCGGGAAUACGAAGGGGGCUAGCGUUGCUCGGAAUGACUGGGCGUAAAGCGCACGUAGGCGGCUUGGUAAGUUAGAGGUGAAAGCCUGGAGCUCAACUCCAGAAUCGCCUUUAAGACUGCCGAGCUAGCAGGUGAGAGAGGUAAGUGGAAUUCCGAGUGUAGAGGUGAAAUUCGUAGAUAUUCGGAAGAACACCAGUGGCGAAGGCGGCUCACUGGCUCAUUCUAGACGCUGAGGUGCGAAAGCGUGGGGAGCAAACAGGAUUAGAUACCCCCGUAGUCCCUGUCUCUUAUAC
This 301-nucleotide ribosomal RNA is filed under the name uncultured bacterium. RNAcentral describes it as "partial 16S ribosomal RNA". It matches the Rfam family "Bacterial small subunit ribosomal RNA", at positions 509 to 807 of the family's 1533-position model. The record is from RNAcentral.